ACGUAGGGCGCGAGCGUUGUCCGGAAUUAUUGGGCGUAAAGAGCUCGUAGGCGGCCUGUUGCGUCCGCUGUGAAAGCCCGGGGCUUAACCCCGGGUCUGCAGUGGAUACGGGCAGGCUAGAGGUAGGUAGGGGAGAAUGGAAUUCCCGGUGUAGCGGUGAAAUGCGCAGAUAUCGGGAGGAACACCGGUGGCGAAAGCGGCGCACUGGACCACAACUGACGCUGAGGCGCGAAAGCUAGGGGAGCAAACAGGA
This 253-nucleotide ribosomal RNA is filed under the name uncultured prokaryote. Its description in RNAcentral is "partial 16S ribosomal RNA". It matches the Rfam family "Bacterial small subunit ribosomal RNA", at positions 525 to 777 of the family's 1533-position model. The record is from RNAcentral.